Long non-coding RNA from Glossina fuscipes, 643 nucleotides. RefSeq lists it as uncharacterized. The transcript has 3 exons. The record is from RefSeq and is a predicted model, not a curated record. Lineage: Eukaryota; Metazoa; Arthropoda; Insecta; Diptera; Glossinidae.
UUCCAAGCAAUACGCUCUUAUUCGCCAACGGAACCCACCAUAGUUUUUGUUUCAUCCCGCCGUCAAACUCGAUUAACCGCUUUGGAUCUGAUUACUACAAGGAGAUACUAGACUAUUUACGCUUAUGCUUGUGGUAUUCUGCCGGUGCCGUCUGUGGUCCCGGUGAUGUAAAAUACCUUAACAAGCUCAAACGAUACAUUAUCUGUAACUGCGAAGAAUCAGAUAAUAAUGAAUUAUAUGAAUACGUACAAUUUGUUAAACGCAGUGUGUAAGCCAAAAGAUGCGAAUCAAAUCUUUUGUGCUUACAUGAUUUACUAAACGCUGCUGCUGAAUUGUUGACUUCUUCGUUGCUUUAAGAUGUCGCGGAAACAAUGCGUUGUAGACAUAGUUAUUAUUAUGGGCUUACGGACUCGAUGAUCGAGAAUUUGACGUUAAUGUUAAAGAAUGUUUGGAGGCUUUACCGCAACGUUUAUUGGAGCAUAAGCUUGGCUGGCUGUUAGUUCUUGGCCAUGCCUUGAGUAAGAAAAUGGGAUAUCUCAUCAUAUAACGACAAACAAAGAAUUUCGCUGAAUGGCAAAAUUUUGUGGACACUGUGAAAGUUAUGGGUAAAGUUCUGAAUACAGUAAUUUUUUGUGAAACUCAU